This 111-nucleotide ribosomal RNA is filed under the name Diaphorina citri (Asian citrus psyllid). The record is from RNAcentral. Lineage: Eukaryota; Metazoa; Arthropoda; Insecta; Hemiptera; Psyllidae.
AUGUCUAGGUAUAUCAGGUUGAAUGCAUCAGUUUCCAGCAGACCACUGAAGUUAAGCAACACUGAGCAUGGAUCGUACUUGGAUGGGUGAUAAAUCCACUAAUUGGAUUGC